UGCUACAAGAGGGGGUUAUAUAUCCAUGGAGCGGUGCCAGGUGAAAUGAAUAAGUAUGUUUACUGAGCCUAUAGCGAUCACAGACACAUGAUCGGGAUGUGUCGGGAUAUGGUAUCAGUGCACUUGCAGCUGUGGUAUAUCUUCAAGAACUAUCAGGUCUUCUCCUUUGCCUCAUAUGGAAUCCCCGCGAUUAAUUAGCCUCUUUUCUGAAAAAGCCUCUUUUCUGAAAUGAAAGCAGUUCAUACUAGGUUGAGUUGGUUCUUACUACAAACUAACAAAUAUUUUCACCAUGGAAGGUAGUGCCGCCCUUAAUUAGCCGUGGAAAUAGGUAAAUGUUUAUCUUAAUAUCAAGAGACCAAUGUCAGUGACCUAAAGAUUAACCUCAAUAUGUAGUUUCGUUUGUCAUAUGGACUAACCUGUCAAAUGACCUUCUGUAGAAUGGCAUUCUCUUGUAUGAUCUUUUCUGUAUGAACCUUGAAGUGGAAAAUGAAACAAUGGUGAUGUAUCGUAAACCAUGUUAUCUUGUUUCAAAUUAUA
This 537-nucleotide long non-coding RNA is filed under the name Setaria italica (foxtail millet). RNAcentral describes it as "long non-coding RNA (SITA_LNC001031)". The record is from RNAcentral. Lineage: Eukaryota; Viridiplantae; Streptophyta; Magnoliopsida; Poales; Poaceae.